UUAAGCGACUAAGCGUACACGGUGGAUGCCCUGGCAGUCAGAGGCGAUGAAGGACGUGCUAAUCUGCGAAAAGCGCCGGCGAGGUGAUAUGAACCCUUGACCCGGCGAUGUCCGAAUGGGGAAACCCAGUGCAAUCCGUUGCACUAUCGUUAACUGAAUACAUAGGUUAACGAGGCGAACCGGGGGAACUGAAACAUCUAAGUACCCCGAGGAAAAGAAAUCAACCGAGAUUCCCCCAGUAGCGGCGAGCGAACGGGGAGCAGCCCGGAGUCUGAAUCAGCUUGUGUGUUAGUGGAACGGUCUGGAAAGUCCGACGGUACAGGGUGAUAGUCCCGUACACGAAAAUGCACAUGCUGUGAACUCGAAGAGUAGGGCGGGACACGUGGUAUCCUGUCUGAAUAUGGGGGGACCAUCCUCCAAGGCUAAAUACUCCUGACUGACCGAUAGUGAACCAGUACCGUGAGGGAAAGGCGAAAAGAACCCCGGCGAGGGGAGUGAAAAAGAACCUGAAACCGUGUACGUACAAGCAGUGGGAGCCUCUUUAUGGGGUGACUGCGUACCUUUUGUAUAAUGGGUCAGCGACUUAUAUUCUGUAGCAAGGUUAACCGUAUAGGGGAGCCGAAGGGAAACCGAGUCUUAACUGGGCGUUAAGUUGCAGGGUAUAGACCCGAAACCCGGUGAUCUAGCCAUGGGCAGGUUGAAGGUUGGGUAACACUAACUGGAGGACCGAACCGACUAAUGUUGAAAAAUUAGCGGAUGACCUGUGGCUGGGGGUGAAAGGCCAAUCAAACCGGGAGAUAGCUGGUUCUCCCCGAAAGCUAUUUAGGUAGCGCCUCGUGAACUCAUCUUCGGGGGUAGAGCACUGUUUCGGCUAGGGGGCCAUCCCGGCUUACCAACCCGAUGCAAACUACGAAUACCGAAGAAUGUUAUCACGGGAGACACACGGCGGGUGCUAACGUCCGUCGUGAAGAGGGAAACAACCCAGACCGCCAGCUAAGGUCCCAAAGUCAUGGUUAAGUGGGAAACGAUGUGGGAAGGCACAGACAGCCAGGAUGUUGGCUUAGAAGCAGCCAUCAUUUAAAGAAAGCGUAAUAGCUCACUGGUCGAGUCGGCCUGCGCGGAAGAUGUAACGGGGCUAAACCAUGCACCGAAGCUGCGGCAGCGACACUAUGUGUUGUUGGGUAGGGGAGCGUUCUGUAAGCCGUUGAAGGUGUGCUGUGAGGCAUGCUGGAGGUAUCAGAAGUGCGAAUGCUGACAUAAGUAACGAUAAAGCGGGUGAAAAGCCCGCUCGCCGGAAGACCAAGGGUUCCUGUCCAACGUUAAUCGGGGCAGGGUGAGUCGACCCCUAAGGCGAGGCCGAAAGGCGUAGUCGAUGGGAAACAGGUUAAUAUUCCUGUACUUGGUGUUACUGCGAAGGGGGGACGGAGAAGGCUAUGUCAGCCGGGCGACGGUUGUCCCGGUUUAAGCAUGUAGGCGGAGGUUCCAGGUAAAUCCGGUACCUUAUUAACGCUGAGGUGUGAUGACGAGGCACUACGGUGCUGAAGUGAUAAAUGCCCUGCUUCCAGGAAAAGCCUCUAAGCAUCAGGUAACACGAAAUCGUACCCCAAACCGACACAGGUGGUCAGGUAGAGAAUACCAAGGCGCUUGAGAGAACUCGGGUGAAGGAACUAGGCAAAAUGGUGCCGUAACUUCGGGAGAAGGCACGCUGAUGUGUAGGUGAAGCCCCUGCGGGUGGAGCUGAAAUCAGUCGAAGAUACCAGCUGGCUGCAACUGUUUAUUAAAAACACAGCACUGUGCAAACACGAAAGUGGACGUAUACGGUGUGACGCCUGCCCGGUGCCGGAAGGUUAAUUGAUGGGGUUAGCGGCAACGCGAAGCUCUUGAUCGAAGCCCCGGUAAACGGCGGCCGUAACUAUAACGGUCCUAAGGUAGCGAAAUUCCUUGUCGGGUAAGUUCCGACCUGCACGAAUGGCGUAAUGAUGGCCAGGCUGUCUCCACCCGAGACUCAGUGAAAUUGAACUCGCUGUGAAGAUGCAGUGUACCCGCGGCAAGACGGAAAGACCCCGUGAACCUUUACUAUAGCUUGACACUGAACACUGGUCCUUGAUGUGUAGGAUAGGUGGGAGGCUUUGAAGCGUGGACGCCAGUCUGCGUGGAGCCAACCUUGAAAUACCACCCUUUAAUGGCUGGUGUUCUAACGUAGACCCGUAAUCCGGGUUGCGGACAGUGUCUGGUGGGUAGUUUGACUGGGGCGGUCUCCUCCCAAAGAGUAACGGAGGAGCACGAAGGUUGGCUAAUCCUGGUCGGACAUCAGGAGGUUAGUGCAAUGGCAUAAGCCAGCUUGACUGCGAGCGUGACGGCGCGAGCAGGUGCGAAAGCAGGUCAUAGUGAUCCGGUGGUUCUGAAUGGAAGGGCCAUCGCUCAACGGAUAAAAGGUACUCCGGGGAUAACAGGCUGA
This 2458-nucleotide ribosomal RNA is filed under the name human gut metagenome. Its description in RNAcentral is "bacterial LSU rRNA". It matches the Rfam family "Bacterial large subunit ribosomal RNA", at positions 1 to 2485 of the family's 2925-position model. The record is from RNAcentral.